GAUGAACGCUGGCGGCGUGCCUAAUACAUGCGAGUCGAGCGAACGGACGAGAAGCUUGCUUCUCUGAUGUUAGCGGCGGACGGGUGAGUAACACGUGGAUAACCUACCUAUAAGACUGGGAUAACUUCGGGAAACCGGAGCUAAUACCGGAUAAUAUUUUGAACCGCAUGGUUCAAAAGUGAAAGACGGUCUUGCUGUCACUUAUAGAUGGAUCCGCGCUGCAUUAGCUAGUUGGUAAGGUAACGGCUUACCAAGGCAACGAUGCAUAGCCGACCUGAGAGGGUGAUCGGCCACACUGGAACUGAGACACGGUCCAGACUCCUACGGGAGGCAGCAGUAGGGAAUCUUCCGCAAUGGGCGAAAGCCUGACGGAGCAACGCCGCGUGAGUGAUGAAGGUCUUCGGAUCGUAAAACUCUGUUAUUAGGGAAGAACAUAUGUGUAAGUAACUGUGCACAUCUUGACGGUACCUAAUCAGAAAACCACGGCUAACUACGUG
RNAcentral lists this ribosomal RNA (497 nucleotides) under uncultured bacterium. RNAcentral's name for it is "partial 16S ribosomal RNA". It matches the Rfam family "Bacterial small subunit ribosomal RNA", at positions 28 to 507 of the family's 1533-position model. The record is from RNAcentral.